The submitters of this non-coding RNA (86 nucleotides) gave its source as unclassified sequences. The record is from Rfam.
UCAUCAUAUAUUCCCUCUAACCGAGAUCACGGGGGUUACAUCUCUCAUAUCCACUAGUGAAGGGAUUAGUGGAAAUAUCCGUAUCG